RNAcentral lists this long non-coding RNA (240 nucleotides) under Setaria italica (foxtail millet). RNAcentral describes it as "long non-coding RNA (SITA_LNC003465)". Lineage: Eukaryota; Viridiplantae; Streptophyta; Magnoliopsida; Poales; Poaceae. The record is from RNAcentral.
AAAGAUUCACUCGUACUUGACUCGUCGCCUUCCCUGUCAUUUUGCAGUUGUCAUCAGAGUGAGGUUGACGUAGUACCCCGGACCACCAAUUUGUUGUUUUCUGCAUGGCCGGCGAGACGGCCAGACGGGUAGGAUAUAGGAGUGGACGGUGCCGGAGCAGGAGAGAUUAGAGGCUUCACACCAACAAGAAGCGCCAUGAGCCACCGGAGAGAGGAAGGAGAAGACGGAGGCAGGUGCCCA